Molecule: unclassified non-coding RNA, 483 nt
Filed under: Hevea brasiliensis (rubber tree)
Lineage: Eukaryota; Viridiplantae; Streptophyta; Magnoliopsida; Malpighiales; Euphorbiaceae
Source: RNAcentral
GACAACCUCUUUGAACACUUCUCUGCUGUAGCUCAACGGCUUGGUGUAUACACUGCCAAGGACUAUGCAGAUAUUCUGGAAUUCCUGGUGGGGAGAUGGGAGGUGGAAAAAUUGACUGGUCUUUCCAGUGAAGGACGCAGAGCACAAGACUAUGUAUGUGGACUGGCUCCGCGGAUUAGAAAAUUGGAGGAGAGAGCACAGGCAAGGGCCAAGCAGCGAAGUCCCGUUCCUUUCAGCUGGAUUUUUGGUAAAGAGAUCAAGAUAUGAAUGCACUUGUGUUGGAGGGCAAUGUCAUAUUACUUUCUGAUCUUUAAAUUUGCCAUAGAUUUAUGAAGUCUGUGCAGGGUAGUUGAAGCUACUUCACUAGAGUAUUGGCUUUUCUUUUUUGCAAUUGUGUUUAGGCCAUAGGGAAAAACAUAGUUCUUAGCAAUAAAGAUGAACCUUUUGGUAUCCUCUUUUCUUUCUUUCUUUUCAAGUCAAAGG